This 424-nucleotide ribosomal RNA is filed under the name uncultured bacterium. RNAcentral's name for it is "bacterial SSU rRNA". It matches the Rfam family "Bacterial small subunit ribosomal RNA", at positions 356 to 773 of the family's 1533-position model. The record is from RNAcentral.
GGGGAAUAUUGCACAAUGGACGAAAGUCUGACGGAGCAACGCCGCGUGAGUGAUGAAGGUUUUCGGAUCGUAAAGCUCUGUUGCCAGGGAAGAACGUCCGUUAGAGUAACUGCUAACGGAGUGACGGUACCUGAGAAGAAAGCCCCGGCUAACUACGUGCCAGCAGCCGCGGUAAUACGUAGGGGGCGAGCGUUGUCCGGAAUUAUUGGGCGUAAAGCGCGCGCAGGCGGCUGUUUAAGUCUGGUGUUUAAUCCUGGGGCUCAACCCCGGGUCGCACUGGAAACUGGGCAGCUUGAGUGCAGAAGAGGAGAGUGGAAUUCCACGUGUAGCGGUGAAAUGCGUAGAGAUGUGGAGGAACACCAGUGGCGAAGGCGACUCUCUGGGCUGUAACUGACGCUGAGGCGCGAAAGCGUGGGUAGCAAAC